GGGGAUUGUAGUAUGUAACCAAAACAAGAAUGUAAGAACUGAAAAUAGCAAAAUAAAGAGAGAUUGUCACGUGUGUUGUAAACAAUGAGAAUUGAGGCGUUGGGGUUAUGUCCACCUUCUGAGGUAUACGUCUCUAUUGGCUAUGAGUGUGUAGAGUCUUGACAUGUAAUUGCUUAUAGAGAAUUGUAGUCGAUGGUAAAUCCAAGCGUCUCUCGACCUAAACAAGGACUAUUUCACUUUAACUCUCUCGAGCUUAAAGCGUGACUAACGGUACGAAUUCUCCAAGAAGUUAGUCCAGGUACGGCACUAUCUUUUUAAUAGGAAAGGGUGUCCUACUACCUUGACAUUAUCUCUUUUCCAGACAAAUAACUUUUCUCUCGAACAAGUCAGAUGUUAGACUGGCGUUGGUCUAUGCGUCUUCUUUUCUAGACAAAUAACCUUUCUCUCGAACAGGUUAGAUGUUAGAAUGGCGUGUUC
RNAcentral lists this long non-coding RNA (477 nucleotides) under Capsicum annuum. RNAcentral describes it as "long non-coding RNA (CANN_LNC000551)". Lineage: Eukaryota; Viridiplantae; Streptophyta; Magnoliopsida; Solanales; Solanaceae. The record is from RNAcentral.